RNAcentral lists this ribosomal RNA (492 nucleotides) under uncultured bacterium. RNAcentral describes it as "partial 16S ribosomal RNA". It matches the Rfam family "Bacterial small subunit ribosomal RNA", at positions 29 to 507 of the family's 1533-position model. The record is from RNAcentral.
AGUGAACGCUGGCGGUAGGCCUAACACAUGCAAGUCGAACGGCAGCACAGUAAGAGCUUGCUCUUACGGGUGGCGAGUGGCGGACGGGUGAGGAAUACAUCGGAAUCUACUUUUUCGUGGGGGAUAACGUAGGGAAACUUACGCUAAUACCGCAUACGACCUACGGGUGAAAGCAGGGGAUCUUCGGACCUUGCGCGAUUGAAUGAGCCGAUGUCGGAUUAGCUAGUUGGCGGGGUAAAGGCCCACCAAGGCGACGAUCCGUAGCUGGUCUGCUAGGAUGAUCAGCCACACUGGAACUGAGACACGGUCCAGACGCCUACGGGAGGCAGCAGUGGGGAAUAUUGGACAAUGGGCGCAAGCCUGAUCCAGCCAUACCGCGUGGGUGAAGAAGGCCUUCGGGUUGUAAAGCCCUUUUGUUGGGAAAGAAAAGCAGCAGGUUAAUACCCCGCUGUUCUGACGGUACCCAAAGAAUAAGCACCGGCUAACUUCGUG